This 441-nucleotide ribosomal RNA is filed under the name uncultured bacterium. Its description in RNAcentral is "bacterial SSU rRNA". It matches the Rfam family "Bacterial small subunit ribosomal RNA", at positions 958 to 1398 of the family's 1533-position model. The record is from RNAcentral.
AACGCGAAGAACCUUACCUACUUUUGACAUCCUGCGAAUUCGACGUAAUGGUUGAAGUGCCGAAAGGAACGCAGAGACAGGUGCUGCAUGGCUGUCGUCAGCUCGUGUUGUGAGAUGUUGGGUUAAGUCCCGUAACGAGCGCAACCCUUGUCCUUAGUUACCAUCAUUCAGUUGGGGACUCUAAGGAGACUGCCGGUGAUGAACCGGAGGAAGGCGGGGACGACGUCAAGUCAUCAUGGCCUUUAUAAGUAGGGCUACACACGUGCUACAAUGGGGCGUACAGAGGGUAGCCAACCCGCGAGGGGGAGCCAAUCUCAAAAAGCGUCUCGUAGUCCGGAUUGAAGUCUGCAAUUCGACUUCAUGAAGUCGGAAUCGCUAGUAAUCGCGAAUCAGCCAUGUCGCGGUGAAUACGUUCCCGGGCCUUGUACACACCGAGACGAC